GUCACGACUUGCUCUGCUGAAAUUACCGCACCAUAACCACGUCAUCUGCCCCAAUGAUCUACGGGCCGGAGAACCAGCGCAGAAAAGGAGUAAGUUUAAUUGGUCGCCAGAUGAAACGGUCUUCUUACAUCAAAUUCAAGAAAAAUACGUAUAAUCAGAGGGUGUUAUGGGAAGAGUAUCACCCCUGAGGAUAAGAAGAGAGCGUGGACUGAAGUGGCAGAAGCUGUAACAAGUGCCUUCCCUGGGAGUGGACCCCAUACGCAGGAUGACUGUGAGAGGCGUUGGUACAACGUACAACAAAAAUCAAAGCCUUGCAUUGCCAAGUGCAAGAAUGAGCAGCGGCAGACUGAUACACACUUUAUCAGUAUUGCUAGAGACCAUCCCAGCACAUUGUUCAUUACUUGUGGAAAAGAUACCAUUAGCUGCUCCGGCAACAGCCACUGCUUCAAUAUCUGCUGGCCCUAUGACACCAGCCACUGCUUCAUCAUCUGCUGGCCCUAUGACACCAGCCACUGUUUCAUCAUCUGCUGGCCCAAUGACACCAGCCACUGCUUCAUCAUCUGCUGGCCCUAUGACACCAGCCACUGCUUCAUCAUCUGCUGGCCCAAUGACACCUGCCACUGCAAGGGAUGACAAUGAAGCUGCUCCACCAGUCACCACCUACUUCAUCGGAGUUAAGAGAUGCCUUUCAUAGGGCAGCAGUAUAAUUUUUUGAUGCUGGGGCUGAAUAUUACUGCCUCAAGGCUAUGAUUUUGUCACUUUUUUUUUUAUUACUGAGGAGGUUAGGGUGGAAGGGGUGAAAAAUAAUUUGUGCUGUUUUUCGACAGAAAUGAUUAGCAAAUUCAUUCAAAGCACAAAAUUUACCAGAAAAAAAAUUGUGUGCCAUUGUGAGUGGGUUCACUUGAGAUUGGGCUCCAAUACGCCUCCGUGGUCUAGUGGUCAGCAUGCCUGGCUUCUACGCGGGCCCGGGUUCGAAUCCCGGCCUGGGCAGUCGGCGUGCAGCUCACCCAGCUGAUCAUCCUCCCUCUCGGGCUGGUCGAUAAAUGACUACCUGGGGAAACUGUGGUAGCCCGGAUGUCACACUGGCCCUGUGUCCCGGGGUAAUGGGCUCCCUCUCACCACAGGCUCAAGGCCCAAUGUUACGGAGAUGAGCACCGAGGCCACCCGCUGCUAUAGCGUAUGUCCCAACUUUACCUUUAUUGGCUCGACUGACAGACAUGGCUUUGUAUGUCGAAGGUCACUGGUUCAAUCUCCACAGCCAGCACUCUCUAACUUGGAUUUUUCUGAGUUCCCUAGAGCCUAGAUUAAUUUCUCGGUGUUAAAUGAGGAGAUUUGCACCGGCACCCAGUCAUGGGUGUUACAAGAUGCGUUGUUACAAUCAGGGGCGUCAUUUGGCCUUCAAAAGUGGGAGGGA
Long non-coding RNA from Eriocheir sinensis (Chinese mitten crab), 1414 nucleotides. RefSeq lists it as uncharacterized. Lineage: Eukaryota; Metazoa; Arthropoda; Malacostraca; Decapoda; Varunidae. The record is from RefSeq and is a predicted model, not a curated record. The transcript is spliced from 3 exons.